This 492-nucleotide ribosomal RNA is filed under the name uncultured bacterium. RNAcentral's name for it is "partial 16S ribosomal RNA". It matches the Rfam family "Bacterial small subunit ribosomal RNA", at positions 29 to 507 of the family's 1533-position model. The record is from RNAcentral.
AGUGAACGCUGGCGGUAGGCCUAACACAUGCAAGUCGAACGGCAGCACAGUAAGAGCUUGCUCUUACGGGUGGCGAGUGGCGGACGGGUGAGGAAUACAUCGGAAUCUACUUUUUCGUGGGGGAUAACGUAGGGAAACUUACGCUAAUACCGCAUACGACCUACGGGUGAAAGCAGGGGAUCUUCGGACCUUGCGCGAUUGAAUGAGCCGAUGUCGGAUUAGCUAGUUGGCGGGGUAAAGGCCCACCAAGGCGACGAUCCGUAGCUGGUCUGAGAGGAUGAUCAGCCACACUGGAACUGAGACACGGUCCAGACUCCUACGGGAGGCAGCAGUGGGGAAUAUUGCACAAUGGGCGCAAGCCUGAUCCAGCCAUACCGCGUGGGUGAAGAAGGCCUUCGGGUUGUAAAGCCCUUUUUUUGGGAAAGAAAAGCAGCAGGUUAAUACCCCGCUGUUCUGACGGUACCCAAAGAAUAAGCACCGGCUAACUUCGUG